This is a non-coding RNA of Salmo salar (Atlantic salmon), 1027 nucleotides long. The record is from RefSeq and is a predicted model, not a curated record. Lineage: Eukaryota; Metazoa; Chordata; Actinopteri; Salmoniformes; Salmonidae.
CUCCUGCGAUGACGGGGGGCUGGGAUAAAAAAAUAAAAAUAUAGGACAAAAACACACAUAAAGACACACCACAACACUACAUAAAGAGAUAUUAUGACAAUGGAGUCAAUGGUCAGAUGGUCGUGGUCACAUCUGUCGAAGGGAGGACGGAGGAGGGCCUUGUAUGUAUUUCUGUGGGUAGAAUAUAAGUGGUCUACAGUUUCUGUCCCUCCAGUGAUGCAAAAAGACGUGUUUGGUAGAAGGGAUCUAGGAUAGUUUUAAGUCUCUGAGUUAGUCUCUGAGUUAGUCUCUGCCCACCAGAAACGUUGCCUCUGGGUGAGCGGUCUCUUUGUUUGUUUAUGGCCCCAUACAGUUCGUUGAGACCAGAGUGGUGUUGGCUUGGGGAGGGAUGUAGACUGCCGUGAUAAUUACGGAUGAGAACUCUCUUGGUACAUACAAGGGUCUGCAGUUUACCAUGAGGUAUUCUAUAUCAGGUAGAUUAAGGGGUCUGCAGUUUACCAUGAGGUAUUCUAUAUCAGGUAGAUUAAAGGGUCUAUAUAAGGUAGAUUAAGGGGUCUGCAGUUUACCAUGAGGUAUUCUAUAUCAGGUAGAUUAAAGGGUCUAUAUCAGGUAGAUUAAGGGGUCUACAGUUUACCAUGAGGUAUUCUAUAUCAGGUAGAUUAAGGGGUCUGCAGUUUACCAUGAGGUAUUCUAUAUCAGGUAGAUUAAAGGGUCUAUAUCAGGUAGAUUAAGGGGUCUACAGUUUACCAUGAGGUAUUCUAUAUCAGGUAGAUUAAGGGGUCUGCAGUUUACCAUGAGGUAUUCUAUAUCAGGUAGAUUAAAGGGUCUAUAUAAGGUAGAUUAAGGGGUCUGCAGUUUACCAUGAGGUAUUCUAUAUCAGGUAGAUUAAAGGGUCUAUAUCAGGUAGAUUAAGGGGUCUACAGUUUACCAUGAGGUAUUCUAUAUCAGGUAGAUUAAGGGGUCUGCAGUUUACCAUGAGGUAUUCUAUAUCAGGUAGAUUAAAGGGUCUAUAUCAGGUAGAUUAAGG